This 101-nucleotide non-coding RNA is filed under the name Streptococcus mutans. Its description in RNAcentral is "TPP sequence". It matches the Rfam family "TPP riboswitch aptamer (THI element)". Rfam says of the family: Vitamin B(1) in its active form thiamin pyrophosphate (TPP) is an essential coenzyme that is synthesised by coupling of pyrimidine and thiazole moieties in bacteria. The previously detected thiamin-regulatory element, thi box was extended, resulting in a new, highly conserved RNA secondary structure, the THI element, which is widely distributed in eubacteria and also occurs in some archaea. RNAcentral also lists the same sequence under 1 other name. The record is from RNAcentral. Lineage: Bacteria; Bacillati; Bacillota; Bacilli; Lactobacillales; Streptococcaceae.
AAAUAUCACAAGGAGUGCUAACCUUAGCUGAGAUUGCAUUUGCAAAAUCCUAUGGACCUGAUCUAGUUAAUACUAGCGUGGGAAUGUGAUUCGUUUCAUGA